Molecule: transfer RNA, 68 nt
Filed under: Galago senegalensis (Senegal galago)
Lineage: Eukaryota; Metazoa; Chordata; Mammalia; Primates; Galagidae
Also listed under: 1 other name
Description: tRNA-Ala
Rfam family: tRNA
About the family: Transfer RNA (tRNA) molecules are approximately 80 nucleotides in length.
Source: RNAcentral
AAGGACUUAGCUUAAUAAAAGUAUCUGAUUUGCGUUCAGCUGAUGUAGGGGAGGUCCUGCAGUCCUUA